Molecule: ribosomal RNA, 224 nt
Filed under: Listeria monocytogenes
Lineage: Bacteria; Bacillati; Bacillota; Bacilli; Caryophanales; Listeriaceae
Description: partial 16S ribosomal RNA
Rfam family: Bacterial small subunit ribosomal RNA
Source: RNAcentral
UUUAAAGAGAGUUUGAUCCUGGCUCAGGACGAACGCUGGCGGCGUGCCUAAUACAUGCAAGUCGAACGAACGGAGGAAGAGCUUGCUCUUCCAAAGUUAGUGGCGGACGGGUGAGUAACACGUGGGCAACCUGCCUGUAAGUUGGGGAUAACUCCGGGAAACCGGGGCUAAUACCGAAUGAUAAAGUGUGGCGCAUGCCACGCUUUUGAAAGAUGGUUUCGGCU